CAAUAGCGUAUAUUAACGUUGUUGCAGUUAAAAAGCUCGUAGUUGGAUUUCUGGAGGGAGCGUCGGCCCGUAUUUACGAGUGCGUGACGUCUCUGUCCAUCCUUGCGGGAAGGCACGGCAUUGAUUUGUUGUGUCGGAUCGCAUCAUUUACUGUGAAAAAAUUAGAGUGUUCAAAGCAGGCUUUCGCUUGAAUACAUUAGCAUGGAAUAAUAAGAUAGGACUUUGGUGCUAUUUUGCUGGUUGAGCCUAAAGUAAUGAUUAAUAGGGAUAGUUGGGGGCACCUGUAUUGCGUUGUCAGAGGUGAAAUUCUUGGAUUUACGCAAGACAAACAGCUGCGAAAGCGUCUGCCAAGGAUGUUUUCAUUAA
RNAcentral lists this ribosomal RNA (366 nucleotides) under uncultured eukaryote. Its description in RNAcentral is "partial 18S ribosomal RNA". It matches the Rfam family "Eukaryotic small subunit ribosomal RNA", at positions 592 to 976 of the family's 1831-position model. The record is from RNAcentral.